AUACGGAGGGUGCAAGCGUUACUCGGAAUCACUGGGCGUAAAGCGCGCGCAGGCGGCUAUUUAAGUUGGAUGUGAAAGCCUACGGCUCAACCGUAGAACUGCAUCCAAAACUAUUUAGCUAGAGUGUGGGAGAGGAAGAUGGAAUUAGUUGUGUAGGGGUAAAAUCCGUAGAGAUAACUAGGAAUACCAAAAGCGAAGGCAAUCUUCUGGAACACUGCUGACGCUGAGGCGCGAAAGCGUGGGGAACAAACAGGAUUAGAAACCCUAGUAGUCC
Molecule: ribosomal RNA, 274 nt
Filed under: uncultured bacterium
Lineage: Bacteria
Description: partial 16S ribosomal RNA
Rfam family: Bacterial small subunit ribosomal RNA
Source: RNAcentral